UAACAAGGUUUCCGUAGGUGAACCUGCGGAAGGAUCAUUACCUAGAGUUUGUGGGCUUUGCCUGCUAUCUCUUACCCAUGUCUUUUGAGUACUUACGUUUCCUCGGUGGGCUCGCCCGCCGAUUGGACAAAAUUAAACCCUUUGCAGUUGCAAUCAGCGUCUGAAAAACAUAAUAGUUACAACUUUCAACAACGGAUCUCUUGGUUCUGGCAUCGAUGAAGAACGCAGCGAAAUGCGAUAAGUAGUGUGAAUUGCAGAAUUCAGUGAAUCAUCGAAUCUUUGAACGCACAUUGCGCCCCUUGGUAUUCCAUGGGGCAUGCCUGUUCGAGCGUCAUUUGUACCUUCAAGCUUUGCUUGGUGUUGGGUGUUUGUCUCGCCUCUGCGUGUAGACUCGCCUCAAAACAAUUGGCAGCCGGCGUAUUGAUUUCGGAGCGCAGUACAUCUCGCGCUUUGCACUCAUAACGACGACCUCCAAAAGUACAUUUUUUACACUCUUGACCUCGGAUCAGGUAGGGAUACCCGCUGAACUUAAGCAUA
This 537-nucleotide ribosomal RNA is filed under the name Ascochyta pisi. RNAcentral describes it as "eukaryotic LSU rRNA". The stretch from base 181 to 334 matches the Rfam family "5.8S ribosomal RNA". Lineage: Eukaryota; Fungi; Ascomycota; Dothideomycetes; Pleosporales; Didymellaceae. The record is from RNAcentral.